Sinocyclocheilus grahami is the source of this 2163-nucleotide long non-coding RNA. Ensembl lists it as uncharacterized. The record is from Ensembl. NCBI's taxonomy places the organism in Eukaryota, Metazoa, Chordata, Actinopteri, Cypriniformes, Cyprinidae.
UGUGUGUGUGUGCAUGUUUAUUUAACUAUACUUUUUUUUUUUAAGAUACAAAUUUGCAUUAAAAAGCUGGUCAUCAUUGUGCUUGUGAGAAAAAGAUGGAUCCGUCUGCCGGUAUACACAUGUCCGCUGUUCCCCAGAACAGUGAUGUCAUCCAUGUCUCUGUCGGGAACCCCAUUAUAACCAUGUAUCAGCCACAACCGCAAACUCCAAACAUCGCACAAAUCAUCGCACAGCACAUGGUACCUCAAGAAGUCUCCUGUCACGCUGUACCGCACAUGAUCCCAUCGCUAUAUAUAUAUAUAUGUGUGUGUGUGCAUGUUUAUUUAACUAUACUUUUUUUUUUAAGAUACAAAUUUGCAUUAAAAAGCUGGUCAUCAUUGUGCUUGUGAGAAAAAGAUGGAUCCGUCUGCCGGUAUACACAUGUCCGCUGUUCCCCAGAACAGUGAUGUCAUCCAUGUCUCUGUCGGGAACCCCAUUAUAACCAUGUAUCAGCCACAACCACAAACUCCAAACAUCGCACAAAUCAUCGCACAGCACAUGGUACCUCAAGAAGUCUCCUGUCACGCUGUACCGCACAUGAUCCCAUCGCACAUCCAGAUGCCAACUCACAUCCAGACUCAGUCACACAUCCAGCCUGCUCCACAUCUGCAGACUCUACCGCAAGGUCAUGUGGAAGCACAGGCUCAUAUUCAGACCCAAGACCACUUAUCAACACAAGGUCCAUCAGAAGGCCAGAGUGCCGCGCCGUCUCAAGAUGGUGCAGUGAACUCACUGCAGGUCCCUUUUGCAGAGGUAGCCUCCCUGCUGGACCCUAACAUGAAGAGCUCAAAGGCCCGCAAGUACCAGAUCCAUUACGAAGAGGUGAAGAGGAGAUUGGAACCGCCUGAAAAGAUGUCUCUCCGAUCUCUGGCUGCCUAUACGAGAGUGAGUCGAGGUCCAGCUAGUAAGAAAACACUCUUGGAGUCCCUAAAUGUCUUUGGACUGUCACCAAGCACCAAUACAGCAGUGUCCAGUUCCUUUUCUAAACUAACUGAAGGUGACACAGCUGCUCUUUGCAAAGACAUGAAGGAUUUUGCACUGCAAUAUGUUGAUUAUGAGAAUAUGGCGAAACAGUUGCUACCUGAAACAAACCAAGUACAGCACUGGUCAAAAAUCAUUGAAACAAGGAACUAUCUAGAGGAGAUGCGGAAGACUUUUAAUGACCCUGUGAAUACACGUUUGUUCUCCAAUGUUACACAUGGUCUUGGUAACGGCAUGAUGGACGUGGCUCUCGAUAUCGUAGAUAACGUCAUCGACCGACAAAUCCGAAUCCUCUCAGGGAACACUGACCCCAAACCCGAACCUCCAGUGAGAAGAAUAAGGAAACGCAACCGCAAGCCCAAAGCCGCCACGGAAGACGGCAAACCUAAAGAAAAGGGCAGAAGGGGACAGAAGAAAGGAAAACAGAUGCGGCUGGAUUCUGUUGUUCCUGAAGUUCAGCAGUCCACAGAGAUGGAAAGCAGCGUGUUAACACUAGUCUCUGUAGGAUACGAAACCAUUUCCAGUGGACUUAACGCCACCAAUGCAGGUCUUGCAUAACAUCACGUGCCUGAAAGGUGCUGAGAGACACUGAAUUCUGAGUGCAAAAAGUUUUUCAUAGAAAAUUAUAGUUUUAUAAACAUUAGACUUCUCUCCUUCUCUCAAGACUGAAUAUAUUUAGUUUUUUGUUUUCCUCCCAAACUGGUUGAUCAAGAAAAUAAUGUGGCUCUGGGAAGCUGUUUGACAGAGAUGUUUUGAUUUAUACUUUACCAAUCAUGUGUCGCUCUCAAUCUUUCGUUUUGUCAUUUGUGGUAAAGAACAAAUGUACACCGACAGCGUAUGCUAUUAAAGUAGCACGCAAGCAUUUUUUUUCAAGCACUAUGUUGUACUCUCAUGAAAUGAAUCACAAUAUCAGUUUCUGUUAGUCUCAUUUUAGAAUGUUCUCUCUGAAGUGUUAUUUGAUUCUGUUUUACUUAAUCAUAGAAACCCCAAGCAAUUUAGUUUGAGUAAGAACAUAUCUUCUCUUGAUUUUUCGGACUAUUUAUUUCCUUUUUCUGUUUGUGUCUGAUAUGUAGUGUAUGUGAAUGACUGUAGCCUGUACUCUGUACGUUUUGCAGAUUGCUCGUCAUAUGCUUGUAUUAAAAG